This 87-nucleotide transfer RNA is filed under the name Aspergillus terreus. RNAcentral's name for it is "tRNA-Tyr". It matches the Rfam family "tRNA". From Rfam's summary of the family: Transfer RNA (tRNA) molecules are approximately 80 nucleotides in length. Lineage: Eukaryota; Fungi; Ascomycota; Eurotiomycetes; Eurotiales; Aspergillaceae. RNAcentral also lists the same sequence under 1 other name. The record is from RNAcentral.
CCCCCGAUGGUCUAGUUGGAUAUGACGUUCGGCUGUAAUUGGACACAUUUCACCGAAAGGUCGCUGGCUCGAUUCCGGCUCGGGGGA